CUAGGCUUGACAUCCCUUUGCAAAGCCCUUAACCGGGCUCCUCUUGUUCGCAAGACAAAGGUGACAGGUGGUGCAUGGUUGUCGUCAGCUCGUGUCGUGAGAUGUUGGGUUAAGUCCCGCAACGAGCGCAACCCCUAUUUUUAGUUGCCAUCAGUUCGGCUGGGCACUCUAGAAAGACUGCCGAGGACAACUCGGAGGAAGGUGGGGAUGACGUCAAAUCAUCAUGCCCCUUAUGCUUAGGGCUACACACGUGCUACAAUGGCUGUUACAAAGGGCUGCGAGACCGCGAGGUGGAGCCAAUCCCAUAAAAACAGUCUAAGUUCGGAUUGUAGGCUGAAACUCGCCUACAUGAAGCCGGAGUUACUAGUAAUCGCAGAUCAGAAUGCUGCGGUGAAUGCGUUCCC
RNAcentral lists this ribosomal RNA (404 nucleotides) under uncultured Acetoanaerobium sp. RNAcentral describes it as "bacterial SSU rRNA". It matches the Rfam family "Bacterial small subunit ribosomal RNA", at positions 975 to 1375 of the family's 1533-position model. The record is from RNAcentral. Lineage: Bacteria; Bacillati; Bacillota; Clostridia; Peptostreptococcales; Filifactoraceae.